CUAGUAUAGCAAUUAUACCGUGAAACUGCGAAUGGCUCAUUAAAUCAGUUAUCGUUUAUUUGAUAGUACCUUACUACUUGGAUACCCGUGGUAAUUCUAGAGCUAAUACAUGCUGAAAACCCCGACUUCGGAAGGGGUGUAUUUAUUAGAUAAAAAACCAAUGCCCUUCGGGGCUACUUGGUGAUUCAUAAUAACUUAACGGAUCGCAUGGNCCUUGCGCCGGCGACGGUUCAUUCAAAUUUCUGCCCUAUCAACUUUCGAUGGUAAGGUAUUGGCUUACCAUGGUUUCAACGGGUAACGGGGAAUAAGGGUUCUAUUCCGGAGAGGGAGCCUGAGAAACGGCUACCACAUCCAAGGAAGGCAGCAGGCGCGCAAAUUACCCAAUCCCGACACGGGGAGGUAGUGACAAUAAAUACUGAUACAGGGCUCUUUUGGGUCUUGUAAUUGGAAUGAGUACAAUUUAAAUCCCUUAACGAGGAACAAUUGGAGGGCAAGUCUGGUGCCAGCAGCCGCGGUAAUUCCAGCUCCAAUAGCGUAUAUUAAAGUUGUUGCAGUUAAAAAGCUCGUAGUUGAACCUUGGGCCUGGCUGGCCGGUCCGCCUCACCGCGUGUACUGGUCCGGCCGGGCCUUUCCUUCUGGAGAGCCCCAUGCCCUUCACUGGGUGUGCGGGGGAACCAGGACUUUUACUUUGAAAAAAUUAGAGUGUUCAAAGCAGGCCUUUGCUCGAAUACGUUAGCAUGGAAUAAUAGAAUAGGACGUGUGGUUCUAUUUUGUUGGUUUCUAGAACCGCCGUAAUGAUUAAUAGGGAUAGUCGGGGGCAUCAGUAUUCAAUUGUCAGAGGUGAAAUUCUUAGAUUUAUUGAAGACUAACUACUGCGAAAGCAUUUGCCAAGGAUGUUUUCAUUAAUCAGUGAACGAAAGUCAGGGGAUCGAAGACGAUCAGAUACCGUCGUAGUCUUGACCGUAAACUAUGCCGACUAGGGAUCGGGCGGUGUUUCUAUCUUGACCCGCUCGGCACCUUACGAGAAAUCAAAGUUUUUGGGUCUGGGGGA
Molecule: ribosomal RNA, 1051 nt
Filed under: Angustimassarina populi
Lineage: Eukaryota; Fungi; Ascomycota; Dothideomycetes; Pleosporales; Amorosiaceae
Description: SSU rRNA
Rfam family: Eukaryotic small subunit ribosomal RNA
Source: RNAcentral